UUNGAAGGGGGCAGGGCGCUGGGACGG
Molecule: non-coding RNA, 27 nt
Filed under: Mus musculus (house mouse)
Lineage: Eukaryota; Metazoa; Chordata; Mammalia; Rodentia; Muridae
Source: RNAcentral